Molecule: unclassified non-coding RNA, 205 nt
Filed under: Hevea brasiliensis (rubber tree)
Lineage: Eukaryota; Viridiplantae; Streptophyta; Magnoliopsida; Malpighiales; Euphorbiaceae
Source: RNAcentral
GGUUCUAACCAGGCUGUCUCAUGGGCUGCGAGAUCACGUCUUCCAGAAGUUUCGCAUGGUGGGAACAGACAUUUAGGUGCAUCCUCUGAUGUUGCAAUGAAGAGUUCACCUGCCCAAGUUUCUGCAUCAAAAAAUGCUCCAGUCAAGCUUGUCCCAGGGGAGACUACAGCCAAGUCUGCAUCUGCAUCUCCAGGUUCCAUGAAAU